This 647-nucleotide unclassified non-coding RNA is filed under the name uncultured Prochlorococcus sp. RNAcentral's name for it is "partial 16S-23S ribosomal RNA intergenic spacer; may also contain 16S ribosomal RNA and 23S ribosomal RNA". The stretch from base 305 to 377 matches the Rfam family "tRNA". The record is from RNAcentral. Lineage: Bacteria; Bacillati; Cyanobacteriota; Cyanophyceae; Synechococcales; Prochlorococcaceae.
UUGUGGAGGAGGACGCCGAAGGUGGGGCUAAUGACUGGGGUGAAGUCGUAACAAGGUAGCCGUACCGGAAGGUGCGGCUGGAUCACCUCCUAACAGGGAGACAACAAAAUGUUUAAUAUUAUUAUUUUGUCACCUUAGGUCGAUCGGUACCUCACGUUCUUAACUUGUUAAGAAUUUCAUUUCCUAAGUUUUUCUAGGUCACACCCAUUAUUUUUCCUGGGCCAUUAGCUCAGGUGGUUAGAGCGCACCCCUGAUAAGGGUGAGGUCCCUGGUUCAAGUCCAGGAUGGCCCAUAUCUCUAUGUUGGGGGUAUAGCUCAGUUGGUAGAGCGCCUGCUUUGCAAGCAGGAUGUCAGCGGUUCGAGUCCGCUUACCUCCACUGAAUACCACCUCUUCCAUAACUGGUAGAAAGGAAAUGUUUCGACUUGUGAUCAUUAUUCUGAACGAAUCUAGCUUCCUAAUGAAAUCAUUAAGAUGCUGGACUCAUUGAAUUAAUUUCAUUGUUUUCAGAGAACCUUGACAACUGCAUAGAUUAUUUUUAAAGACAAUAAGCAUCUUUAAUGAUGCAGAUUUAUUAUUUGUGCGAAUGCAUUAAUAACAAUUCUAUUAAGCUGAUGCUUCAAUUUUGAAGUUAUUGGUCAAGCUACAA